RNAcentral lists this long non-coding RNA (339 nucleotides) under Mytilus galloprovincialis (Mediterranean mussel). Lineage: Eukaryota; Metazoa; Mollusca; Bivalvia; Mytilida; Mytilidae. The record is from RNAcentral.
CGGGUUAUGUUCUUCUCAUAUAUUUUAUGAUAGUAUGAUACUAAACUCCUAACGGGAGGGAUUGUGCCUGAUAUUCAUAUGAUGGAGACAUAAUCUGUCAAUCAGUUUAAUCGAGGUCUGGAGCUGGCAUGUCAGUAAACUGCUAGUAGUCUGUUGUUAUUUAUGUAUUAUUGUCAUUUUAUUUAUUUUCUUUUGUUACAUCUUCUGACAUCAGACUCGGACUUCUCUUGAACUGAAUUUUAAUGUGCGUAUUGUUAUGCAUUUACUUUUCUACAUUGGCUAGAGGUAUAGGGGAGGGUUGAGAUCUCAUAAACAUGUUUAACCCCGCCGCAAUUUUGC